Molecule: ribosomal RNA, 253 nt
Filed under: uncultured bacterium
Lineage: Bacteria
Description: partial 16S ribosomal RNA
Rfam family: Bacterial small subunit ribosomal RNA
Source: RNAcentral
UACGGGGGGGGCAAGCGUUGUUCGGAAUUACUGGGCGUAAAGGGCUCGUAGGCGGCCAACUAAGUCGGAUGUGAAAUCCCCAGGCUCAACCUGGGAACUGCAUCCGAUACUGGAUGGCUUGAAUUCGGGAGAGGGAUGCAGAAUUCCAGGUGUAGCGGUGAAAUGUGUAGAUAUCUGGAGGAAUAUCGGUGGCGAAGGCGGCAUCCUGGACCGACAUUGACGCUGAGGAGCGAAAGCCAGGGGAGCAAACGGG